AUGAGCGGCCCCAACCCCGCCCCGGUCCGCCCGCCCCGCCCUGCCCUCCCUCCUGCCCGAGGCUCCCGGACCCGCGCUGGGGCCGGCGCUCAGGGAGCCAGCGAGCGGGCAGGCGGCCGGGCGGCGCCGGGCGGGAGGCGAGGUAGAAAGUUUCUCUGCUCGCCUCAUCUAGCGAGCCGGAGCCGAGAGCAAUCUCGGGACCCGCCCGGCCAGCGCGAGAAGAGAGACGGGAGCACAUCGCCAAACACACUGGAAAAGAAAAGAAAAGAAAAAAACCUGAAGUCAGCCCCAGGAGCAGGGACAGAUAAGGUCAUUGUAUUUUUUUUUUUCUUUUUGGUCACAUCACUUGAGGCAUGUGGGAUCUUGCUUCCCUGACCAAGGAUCAAACCUGCACCCCCUGCAUUGGAAGCAUGAAGUCUUAACCACUGGACUACCGAGGAAGUCUAAGUCAUUUUGUGUUUUAAAACAAAUAAAACAAGUAUCUUCAAGGAUUCUAUAAUUUAUUUUAUCUUUUAAUUUAAAAAUUGUUUUAAUUUAGGGGAUUUUGAAGAUUCAUUUUGACUUUAUUCUUUAUUUUUUACUCUUAAAUGUUUUGGGUUUUGGCAGUGGGGGAGAGAGUAGUAGCUACUAGCUUUUCAGAAGUCUCUUGCUAUUAAAAUGUGCCUCUGUCCCUGAAAGCUUCGUUUCUGCAGGCUACAUGAUUUCUCCUGCCAUACUAAGAUACACUCAACCACACACCUCCUUUCUGCUAAGCCCUGACUUCUUUUAGUUAAUAACAGCUCACCCGGCCUGUGACAGCUGCACAAAAGAAAUUAGAUCUCCAUAAGCAGCAGCUCUGAUAUAAUCUCUGCAUUCAUCUCCACUGCUGUUUCUGCAGUGGACCCUCCCCCUUCCUUCCGCAGCUGCCUCCCCCUCCCCAUCGCUGCAUUUACAUCACAAUGAGGCCCCACCCUCACCCAGCAGCUUUGUCUGGUCCUUCCUUCUGCUGCUGCACAGUGGACCAACUGGCACUCCCCGUCUUACUCCCGCCCUCUCCAUCGUCUCCUUUCCAUGCUCUUUCCCCUUCUGAGAGUCCCCCUCAGCCUUUUGGACCCUCCCAAUCUCAGAUUCUCUUGGACCUCCUCCUCAUCACCCUUUCUUCCUCUCUCAGGUCCUUCCUCCACUUGCCGCUUCCCUGUCUCUCUGAGGUCUGUUGGAAUGUUGGGCAUGAGGGCUAACCCAUAUGCUCAAUUCUCCCCUUUCUUUCUCCCUCCAACGUAACGAAUCACCCAUCCCAUCCACGUACAUUCUUCUUUGCCAAUCCCCACCCCAACUCAUGACUCAGCCCUCCCUAUAGACACUUCCCUCCAGGAGCCCAAGAUCGCAGCCCUGAGAGGUACUGAGGCAGCUGUCCUUCCUUGGUUUCCUGUCACAUCACCCCAGACAGCAGCCACUCAGUGAGAGGCCAAGCGGCAACUCAGGGUGUCACCAGGACUAAUUCAGUCUUCUCUUGUACUAAUCCCACCCUCCAGACUAGAUGAGACCACCAACUUAUCUCAGUUUUACUGGGACUUUCCGGGUUUUAGUGCUGCAGUCUCACCUCCCAGGGAAGUUCCAAGCACAACAGGAUGGGUGGUCACUCUGUGAAUCCCACAGUCUUCACAAAUGGAGUUCAGAGUGCAGAUGACUUAGAAAAACCUGAUGCCAAUAGGGGCACUGAAUAUGGUGCACACACUUAGGCCUAGCAGGUCAAGACACUCCGAUGUACCCACCAGACACUCAACACGUGGUGCCUCUGAGACACUAGUGCCAUCCAAAGGAGCCUUCUCUGGAGUGUGGCCAAGCGGGGAUGGUCACAGCUGUGUUCCAGACUGCUCUAGUGUGUUCCAGGGAGCCCCCCAGGGUCGGGCUUAGGAUGAAAAUGUUUAUAAACACCACUGUGAAAUGUUCUGUGGUGUUGCAGCUCACAGAAUCCAUGCACUGAAAUAGAAUAUGGUUUUUAUUUUAUUUGUGUAUUUGUCUGCACCACGUCUUAGUGUGGCGUGAAGGCUCCUAGCUGAGGCAUGCAGGAUCCAGUUCCACGACCAGGGACUGUACCCUGGCCCCCUGCUUUGGGAGCACAGAGUCUUAGCCAUUGGACCACCAGAGAAGUCCCUAAAAUUUGAUUUUCAAACAUGUGCUUCUCCAUUCAGAAAAUGUUUAUAAAGCUCUGGAUCAGGCACAAUGCUAGGAGUUAAGAAUACAGCAUUGAAUGAAACAUAGUCUUAAAAGUCUGUUGAGAAAGAGACAUGAAUGAAGAGGACCUGCAUUGUGGGGUGAUUGAAGCCGUGAUAGGAAUAUGGACACAUUGAGGAUAUGCAGGAAGGCCUCAGACUGGAAGUCCUAGCUCAGCAAAGUCCUGGGUACUUGGGUAGAGGGAUCAGUGUGGGAAAACUUGGAUGAAUGUCAUUGGACAAUACUAUACGUUUCCAAAACAAAUCCAUAGAAAGUGGAUGGAGGUGAGGGAAGGAAGGGCAUGGUGCUAUAUAAUAUGAAGAUACAAGAUAGAUAGUUCUGAUCACAAAGGGCUUCUCUGCUACUUUGGACUUUAUUUAAACUUUGGGCAAUAGGGAAUCCUUGGGAAAGCUUGGAAAAGCACAAAAUACAGGCCUACCAAUAUCCCAAGGGAAAUAUAAUGGAAACAGACUAAGACAAUGCUGUGGAUUUGGAGGGAAAUGAUGGUUUUGAGGAAAAUCAAUAAUAAAAAUGGGAUUGGGACUUCCCUGGUGGUCCAAUGGCUAAGACCCUGAGCUCCCAAUGCAGGGGGCCCAGGUUCAAUCCCUGGUCAGGGAGCCAGAUCCAACAUGCCACAACUAAAGAUUCCCACCUGGAUGUGCAAUGAAUUUUUUUAAGUUUUAGAAAAGUUAAAUAAGACAUAGUGACUGCUCAGAUACAAGGUAAAAGGAGAAGAAGGGAUCACGGGUUCCCGUCUUGGUCAGAUUUCUCAGAAUUAGAGGUCUGGCUGGGUUGUACCAUUCUUCAAGCCUAGCAACUCAGAAGGAGCGACCUAUUUGUUGUGGGGAGGUGGGUAGCAGCAGGGAGGAGAGAGUGGCGAGUUCCAUUGUGGACACGUUAGUUUCAGAUGCAUUGGCCCAUCCCAGUGAAGGUGAGCAGUUGGAUGUUCCAAGUCAGAAGCUUGGGAGAGAUGUUUGGGCUGCAGACCUGAAUCCAAAAAUCAUGGUGUGGGGGCAGCUGAAACCAUGUAAAAGACAGGCCAACCAGGAGCAGAGAACAGAGUCCACUGUGGACCCCUUAAGAGCCACCAGCUUUUCAGGAUGAAAGAAAUAAAAGUGACAGAGGGAGUAGCCGAAGGUGAUAGGAGACAAGUCAAGAGAUACAAUAUCAUGUGAGUGACUGAGCACAGCAAGUAAAGGAAAGAGUGUUCCCAAAAGGAUGGAGUUAAAAAAUAAUAUGGAGUGACUGGGAGGUCAAGUUCGAUAACUAUUGAAAAGUAUCAGCUGGAUGAGCAACAUCUCUGGAGAGAAAUUCUAGUGGAUUGGGAGGGACAGAAGCCAAGCUUUUGUGGACUAAAGCCAAGUGGGAAGGAACAAGUGGAAAAAGAGAGAAUAACCUUCUUUCUCAAGAAGCUUGGCUGGGGACCUCUUUGGUGGUCCAGUGGCUAAGACUCAGCACUCCCAAUGCAAGGGCCUGGGUUCAAUCCUGGUCAGGAACUAGAUCCCGCGUGCUGCAGCUAAAGAAUCCACAUGCCACAGCUAAAAGAUCUUACAUGUUGCAUCGAAGAUGGAAGAUGCUCUGUGCUACAAAUAAGACCUGGUGCUACCAAAGAAAUAAAAGUGACAGAGGGAGUAGCCGAAGGUGAUAGGAGACAAGUCAAGAGAUACAAU
RNAcentral lists this long non-coding RNA (3863 nucleotides) under Bos grunniens (domestic yak). RNAcentral's name for it is "lncRNA (ENSBGRG00000006134.1)". The stretch from base 2739 to 2811 matches the Rfam family "tRNA". The record is from RNAcentral. Lineage: Eukaryota; Metazoa; Chordata; Mammalia; Artiodactyla; Bovidae.